GAUCAUGGCUCAGGAUUAACGCUAGCGGUAUGCAUAAUACAUGCAAGUCGAGCGGGAGCAGCAAUGCUCUAGCGGCAAACGGGUGAGUAAUACGUAUCUAAUCUACCCUUUAGAAAGGAACAACAGAUCGAAAGAUUUGCUAAUACCUUAUAGGACAUAAAUUCACAUGAAAGUAUGUUUAAAGUUCCGUUCGGAACGCUUUAGGAUGAGGGUGCGGCUUAUCAGAUAGUUGGUGAGGUAAUGGCCCACCAAGUCAAUGACGAGUAGCUAUGCUGAGAGGUAGAAUAGCCACAAGGGGACUGAGACACGGCCCCUACUCCUACGGGAGGCAGCAGUAGGGAAUUUUUCACAAUGGGCGAAAGCCUGAUGGAGCAAUACCGCGUGAAUGAUGAAGGUCUUCGGAUUGUAAAAUUCUUUUAUAAGGGACGAACGAUGUGAACAGGAAAUGGUUCGCAAGUGACUGUACCUUUUGAAUAAGUAACGGCAAACUAUGUGCCAGCCGCGGC
Molecule: ribosomal RNA, 506 nt
Filed under: uncultured bacterium
Lineage: Bacteria
Description: bacterial SSU rRNA
Rfam family: Bacterial small subunit ribosomal RNA
Source: RNAcentral